Molecule: ribosomal RNA, 492 nt
Filed under: uncultured bacterium
Lineage: Bacteria
Description: partial 16S ribosomal RNA
Rfam family: Bacterial small subunit ribosomal RNA
Source: RNAcentral
AGUGAACGCUGGCGGUAGGCCUAACACAUGCAAGUCGAACGGCAGCACAGUAAGAGCUUGCUCUUACGGGUGGCGAGUGGCGGACGGGUGAGGAAUACAUCGGAAUCUACUUUUUCGUGGGGGAUAACGUAGGGAAACUUACGCUAAUACCGCAUACGACCUACGGGUGAAAGCAGGGGAUCUUCGGACCUUGCGCGAUUGAAUGAGCCGAUGUCGGAUUAGCUAGUUGGCGGGGUAAAGGCCCACCAAGGCGACGCUCCGUAGCUGGUCUGAGAGGAUGAUCGGCCACACUGGAACUGAGACACGGUCCAGACUCCUACGGGAGGCAGCAGUGGGGAAUAUUGGACAAUGGGCGCAAGCCUGAUCCAGCCAUACCGCGUGGGUGAAGAAGGCCUUCGGGUUGUAAAGCCCUUUUGUUGGGAAAGAAAAGCAGCAGGUUAAUACCCCGCUGUUCUGACGGUACCCAAAGAAUAAGCACCGGCUAACUUCGUG